AACGGCUGGCGGCGUGCCUAAUACAUGCAAGUCGAACGGUCUUUCUAUGGAAGCUUGCUUCCACUGAGAAGAUAGUGGCGAACGGGUGAGUAACACGUGGGUAACCUGCCCAUAAGAGGGGGGAUAACAUCCGGAAACGGGUGCUAAUACCGCAUAGUUUUCUUGAUUGCAUGAUUGAGAAAGGAAAGACGGCCUUUGUGCUGUCGCUUAUGGAUGGACCCGCGGCGUGUUAGUUAGUUGGUGAGGUAACGGCUCACCAAGACGAUGAUACGUAGCCGACCUAAGAGGGUGAUCGGCCACAUUGGGACUGAGACACGGCCCAAACUCCUACGGGAGGCAGCAGUAGGGAAUCUUCCGCAAUGGACGAAAGUCUGACGGAGCAACGCCGCGUGAGUGAAAGAAGGUUUUCGGAUCGUAAAACUCUGUUGUCAGAGAAGAACAAGUUGGAGAGUAACUGCUCCAGCCUUGACGGUAUCUGACCAGAAAGCCACGGCUAACUACGUGCCAGCCGCCGC
This 515-nucleotide ribosomal RNA is filed under the name uncultured bacterium. RNAcentral describes it as "bacterial SSU rRNA". It matches the Rfam family "Bacterial small subunit ribosomal RNA", at positions 35 to 518 of the family's 1533-position model. The record is from RNAcentral.